This 904-nucleotide ribosomal RNA is filed under the name uncultured bacterium. RNAcentral's name for it is "bacterial SSU rRNA". It matches the Rfam family "Bacterial small subunit ribosomal RNA", at positions 8 to 917 of the family's 1533-position model. The record is from RNAcentral.
AGAGUUUGAUCCUGGCUCAGGACGAACGUUGGCGGUGCGCUUUAUGCAUGCAAGUCGAGCGAGAAGCAGUUGUUCCGUAAGGUUCAGCUGUGGACAGCGGCGAACGGGUGCGUAACACGUGAGAAACCUGCCCCCCAGACCGGGAUAGCCCAGGGAAACUUGGAUUAAUACCGGAUACUCUCUUUGGACCGCAUGGUCCUUUGAGGAAAGGUCCGCUGCUGGGGGAUGGUCUCGCGGCCUAUCAGGUAGUUGGUGAGGUAACGGCUCACCAAGCCGAAGACGGGUAGCUGGUCUGAGAGGACGAUCAGCCACACUGGAACUGAGACACGGUCCAGACUCCUACGGGAGGCAGCAGCAGGGAAUAUUGCACAAUGGGCGAAAGCCUGAUGCAGCGACACCGCGUGCGGGAUGAAGGCCUUCGGGUUGUAAACCGCUUUCAGGAGGGAAGAAAAUGACGGUACCUCCAGAAGAAGGCCCGGCCAACUACGUGCCAGCAGCCGCGGUAAUACGUAGGGGCCAAACGUUGUCCGGAUUUAUUGGGCGUAAAGGGCUCGUAGGCGGUUCAACAAGUCGGUCGUGAAAGCCCGGGGCUCAACUCCGGGACGCCGGUCGAUACUGUUGUGACUAGAGUUCGGUAGAGGUGAGUGGAAUUCUCAGUGUAGCGGUGGAAUGCGCAGAUAUUGAGAGGAACACCAUUAGCGAAGGCGGCUCACUGGGCCGAUACUGACGCUGAGGAGCGAAAGCGUGGGGAGCAAACAGGAUUAGAUACCCUGGUAGUCCACGCUGUAAACGAUGAACACUAGGUGUAGCGGAUUUAUUCAUGUCUGCUGUGCCGUAGCUAACGCAUUAAGUGUUCCGCCUGGGGAGUACGGCCGCAAGGCUAAAACUCAAAGGAAUUGACGGG